This 253-nucleotide ribosomal RNA is filed under the name uncultured bacterium. Its description in RNAcentral is "partial 16S ribosomal RNA". It matches the Rfam family "Bacterial small subunit ribosomal RNA", at positions 524 to 776 of the family's 1533-position model. The record is from RNAcentral.
AACGUAGGAGACAAACGUUAUCCGGAGUUACUGGGCGUAAAGGGCGUGUAGGCGGUUUGUUAAGUCUAGCGUGAAAGCUCUCGGCUAAACCGGGAGAGGUCGUUGGAUACUGGCAAACUAGAGGACGGUAGAGGCGUGUGGAAUUCCGGGUGUAGUGGUGAAAUGCGUAGAGAUCCGGAGGAACACCAGUGGCGAAGGCGACACGCUGGGCCGUACCUGACGCUAAAGCGCGACAGCAUGGGGAGCAAACGGG